RNAcentral lists this ribosomal RNA (253 nucleotides) under uncultured bacterium. Its description in RNAcentral is "partial 16S ribosomal RNA". It matches the Rfam family "Bacterial small subunit ribosomal RNA", at positions 524 to 776 of the family's 1533-position model. The record is from RNAcentral.
UACGGAGGGUCCAAGCGUUAUCCGGAAUCAUUGGGCUUAAAGGGUGCGUAGGCGGUUUAGUAAGUCAGUGGUGAAAGCCCAUCGCUCAACGGUGGAACGGCCAUUGAUACUGCUAGACUUGAAUUAUUAGGAAGUAACUAGAAUAUGUAGUGUAGCGGUGAAAUGCUUAGAUAUUACAUGGAAUACCAAUUGCGAAGGCAGGUUACUACUAAUUGAUUGACGCUGAUGGACGAAAGCGUGGGUAGCGAACAGG